This is a long non-coding RNA of Asterias rubens (European starfish), 452 nucleotides long. RefSeq lists it as uncharacterized. The record is from RefSeq and is a predicted model, not a curated record. The transcript is spliced from 3 exons. Lineage: Eukaryota; Metazoa; Echinodermata; Asteroidea; Forcipulatida; Asteriidae.
AGUGAACGGUUACACCCAGUCGCCAUCAUUCGUACAUUGGUGGUUGGGAGGUGCGUUUUGAUCAUCAGUUGCCACAUUUUCCUUAGCAAGCUACAAUUACAAACAUAUCAACAAAUAUCCUAAAGAUGGCCUUCUCCUCACCAAUGGAUUCCCACAACGGAGUUGCAAAGAUUCUGAGUGAUGAAUACUUUCGCGAUUUGGCUUCAAAACUGGUUACAGGAGAGUGGCUGACUUUGGCUACCGAACUUCAGAAAGUCAGAGAUUGAACAGCUAAAGAAGGACCACCAGAGUGUUCCUGAUCAGAUCUUCAACAUGUUCGUGAAGUGGCGCCAGAAUCUCGGACCUAAUUUACAUCUCAGUCAUUGAGGACAGGCGAAUUGUCAAAUUCUGAAACAACUCACCUUGGUAACACAAAUGUUAACGUCACAGGAGACAAAAACACGACAAUCGUG